GGUUGUGGCCCAGAGGCAGAUCACUCGCCUACCAUGCGUGAGGUACUGGGUUCAAUCCUCAGCACCA
Molecule: transfer RNA, 67 nt
Filed under: Marmota monax (woodchuck)
Lineage: Eukaryota; Metazoa; Chordata; Mammalia; Rodentia; Sciuridae
Description: tRNA.Gly
Source: RNAcentral